AAAGGUUUGCGCACUGAGCUUUCUCAGACCCAACCAUUUCACUGAGAUGGAAGAGCAAGAAAAUAUCUUUUGGACAAACUAUCAAUUGAAAUAAUCACAAAACCAGGUAGGGCAUUUCUGGAAACACUAAGCUGAAACCAAACCCAGAGAGUGUCUUUCCCAUUGCAGCUGGAAAGGACAGCAUAGGAGAUGCGUGUAACAGGAAAUGGUUGCAAACACGGGGACACGCAACUAAAAACUGAAAUAUGCCAACCGGAAAAGGAAAUUCUUCAAAAGGAACAUGUGAUAUCAAGUGUGUAUUUCUAGUCCUGGAAAAGAUCUGUCAGAAAAAUCAAAAGUCCACUGAUAAAGAACAAGAUGACUUUGGUGGUAUACACCUGUAAUCUCAGCACUCGGGAAACUGAGGCAGGAGGAUGGUGGCCUCAGUGAAGACGUGGAUGACGUAAGGCUACUCUGGACCACACAGAGAGACCCUACGUCAGAAAUUAAAGCAAACAAAGGAGAAUAACAACCCAGGAGCACAAGUUUCGGAGACAGACCCAGAUAAAAACCUGACCCUUGUUAAAGGCAGACCCGGACAUAUUUUUAGUUGUUUUCAAGCUCUGUAAAAUGGAGAUUUUCUUAGUGUUAAAACACAAGCCUGCACCUAUGGGCGUGAAUCAGACUGCUCUGCCGCUCUCCCUGGAAGGAAGGCAUUGCUGCUGGAAAAGAUUAAUGAUUCAAUCACCACCCCAGAGAAGAACUUAGACAUGAAGAUUGACAACAGUGACCUCUACACUUAGAAAACAUUUGGAAAAAUAAAGUUGUUAGUGAAGCCAG
Long non-coding RNA from Grammomys surdaster, 819 nucleotides. RefSeq lists it as uncharacterized. The record is from RefSeq and is a predicted model, not a curated record. NCBI's taxonomy places the organism in Eukaryota, Metazoa, Chordata, Mammalia, Rodentia, Muridae. The transcript has 2 exons.